This 500-nucleotide ribosomal RNA is filed under the name uncultured microorganism. RNAcentral's name for it is "bacterial SSU rRNA". It matches the Rfam family "Bacterial small subunit ribosomal RNA", at positions 9 to 497 of the family's 1533-position model. The record is from RNAcentral.
GAGUUUGAUCGUGGCUCAGAUUGAACGCUGGCGGUAUGCUUAACACAUGCAAGUCGAACGGUAACAGGAGAGAGCUUGCUCUUUUGCUGACGAGUGGCGGACGGGUGAGUAAUGCGUAGGAAUCUGCCUAGUAGUGGGGGACAACGUGUGGAAACGCACGCUAAUACCGCAUACGCCCUACGGGGAAGCGGGGAGUCUUCGGACCUCGCGCUAUUAGAUGAGCCUACGUUAGAUUAGCUAGUUGGUGGGGUAAAGGCCUACCAAGGCGACGAUCUAUAGCUGGUCUGAGAGGAUGAUCAGCCACACUGGGACUGGGACACGGCCCAGACUCCUACGGGAGGCAGCAGUGGGGAAUAUUGGACAAUGGGCGAAAGCCUGAUCCAGCAAUACCGCGUGUGUGAAGAAGGCCUGAGGGUUGUAAAGCACUUUCAAUUGUGAAGAAAUAUUUAAGGUUAAUAACCUUAAAAUUUUGUACGUUAACUUUAGUAAGAAGCACCGGC